This is an RNA transcript of Canis lupus familiaris (dog), 3074 nucleotides long. RefSeq lists it as uncharacterized. Lineage: Eukaryota; Metazoa; Chordata; Mammalia; Carnivora; Canidae. The record is from RefSeq and is a predicted model, not a curated record. The transcript has 9 exons.
UCCAUGUGCACCCUCUUGGGGCCUUGACUUGGCAUGGGAGACAUUCAGCCGCCCAGACUAUGGAGAGGUUACUUGGAGGGGCCAUGCGGGGGAACCACGUGGAGGGGCCACGGGAACUUCCAGAAACUGCCCAAGCAUUUGUGAAGGGAUGUGGAAGCUGCCCAUGGUGGGGCCUGGCUCUCCCCAGAUUUGCUGGGGACAUUUGUCACGGAGCCGUCAUGGCUGGAGAGGAGCCAGGCUGGAGCACACAUGCUUGUCCUGCGCCACCCGAGGCUGGAUACCACGGGGGAGCAUGGGGCCGAGGUUCUCCAGGACACUGUCUUUCCAGUUCCGAUGUGCAGCGAUCUUCGGCUGGGACUGGCAGAAGGCUGUGCUACCGACAUGCACUCGGCAAUGCUUCUGUGCAAGUGAAGGAGCCAGGAAGUGGGGCAGUGAGGCUGGGGUCAAGGCCCAGGGCACCCCAGGAGCAUUUCCCCAGGCCUCUGGUUUGCUCUGCAGUUCACAGACCUUCUAUAGGGUUCAGCCUCAUGAUCAGCAUUGCCUCAUCCCCUUCCAGGGUGGGGACAGUGAGGGGUGCCGUCAGCCAAGCCUUGGUGGGCGGCACAUGCCAGGGGCUGUGCUGGGCCUCCCCCGUGCUGUGGGGGACGUGGACCCAAGGUUUCAGGAGCCUUGGCUUCCUUGUGACUCUGUGGCCAGCCAGUGGCCGGAGGGUACCUCAAUACGGCUCCUGGGGGCAAGAGUGUGUGUCCCUGGUGGAGGCACUUGACCGUGUGAGCCCAGGGCUGCUGUCCUGCCUCUGUGGCUCCUCUGUAAGGCGGGGACAACUGUGCCCCAAAGUGAUCCCUGAACUCUCGGUGCUUCGAACAGCUGGGGCUGCUGGGGGCGUGAGGCAGGGCGGCACCCUGUGUCUUGGCCACGGGGAGCCCACCCACAGGCUGCUAUGGCCACUCUGUGAAGCGCUCCCACGUGCUGUGGUGCCCAGUAGGGCUCCCUGGGGACUAGCUUUCCUCUUUGGUCUUCAUGGGAGGGCAUGCAGGAGGGGCUGGGAGGCAGCAGAGGAUGGCUCCUGCCCCUCCCACUCUCUGGGCCUCUCCCCUCCCUCUCUGACUCUUUCUGUAUCUACCCACCUCCCCACCAUCUCAGGAUGGGGGUGGCCUGGGCGCCGGCUGCCCGUGGGCUCCAUGCUCAUGACUGACAGGGACCCAGGACCAGGUCAACCAGAUUUUGUUUCCUUCUCAUCAAGGUCAGCCAGCGCUGGGGGCCUCAAGUGGACCCAUGCGAAUCCAAGGUGGACAAGUGCUGAAAGGGAACAGCAGGGGUGUUGCAACAAGCUGAAUGAAUAUCUACACCCAACAUGCGGCUCAAGCUCAUGACCCAACAUCAAGAGUCCCAGGCUGCAUGACUGAACCCACCAGAGAGAGAGAGAGAGGCAGAGGGAGAAGCAGGCUCCACCCUGGGAGCCUGAGGUGGGACUCGAUCUCGGGACUCCAGGAUCACACCCCGGGCUGCAGGUGGCGCCAAACCGCUGUGCCACCGGGGCUGCCCCUCUGCCCCUUUCCUGCCUCCCAUGUCCCUUCCCCAUGUCCCUUCUCCAGCGCUGGCCUGGAUGCAGCUGCGGCCAUGCCCACAGGUCUUCAACGGAUGUGGCGGAGCCACAUUCAGCCCAAGCGGUGACUUCUCCAGGUGGUGCUCCUGCUGGGGAAGAGCCACAUUCUCACUGCAGCCCCUGUGAAGUCCCCCUCCCCUUGGGUGUGGUGGGCUGACUGAGUGACUUAUUUCUGAAAGACGGAGGAGGCACCUUAGCCCUGGGGUCAAGGUCACUUUGGGAGCAGGUGCCUCAAGGUGCCCUGAUGGGAAGGUGCUUCACCUGUGUACGAUCAUCCCCAAUCCCACAGCCCUAGAGACUCAUGAGAAAGCAUCAGAGCAACCCAGAUCGGCUGAGGGCAGUCCGGAAACACCUGACCAAUGCUGCUCAAAGCUGUCAAGGUCACUGAAGUCCACGGCUUCCCCACGGCUGCUUCCCAGCAUUCUGAUGACGUCAGGAUCUGCUGCUCUUUUCCUAGGUUAAUUUCAUUCUCCAGCAAACUUUGAAAUGGGGAUGCAGUUGGCUGCCAGCCCCCCAGAGGUACUUUCGUGCUCCAUGUGCAGCCCCACUUGCACGCGGAGCUCUCCUCCUCCAGAGUCUGGCCUGAGGUGGCCUGAAUGUUUGAGGCCUGGAGGUUGCUUGGUGCUCGACUGCUUCUGUCAGUCAUUGCGAGAGGUCCCGGCCAGGAGCCCAACAGGGGACCUUCUCCACUGUGACCCUGUUGGCCCCUGACCUUGGACUGUCUGUCCUCCCGAACCGUGAGGAAUUGAUGUCUGUUUAUGUCUGUUUAUGAGCCUUCCACCCAUAGUCGAUGAGCAGCCGGACGGACCAGGAUUUGGUCUGAGCUUGGUUUCUGUGCCAUGAACUCUGAUGGCGCUGUUUUCCGACAUGGCUAUGGUGCGAAGUCCCCAGUAUCUGCCUCCCCCGCCGCCCCUGGGCUUCAGUGGGGCACAUGGCCUCCAGGGUAAGGACAGGCCUCCCAGCCAUGUUGCAGCUUGGUGCAGCCAGGUGACAAUGCAACCCAGCCCAGGGGCUCCCGGUGGGGCCAUGUCCUCGUCCUACAGCUGCAGUAGGUGUGGCAGCAAGGCCUCGGGAGUCUGCCACCUCUGACACCACCCUGGCAGCCAGGACCCCUGGGUCACUCUUAGGAGAGGACACCAUGCAGCAGCCCUGGUCCUCGACCUCUGCGCUGACUCGGGCUCGCGUCACCGGCAGCCCAGCUCAGGUGGGAGUGACCCCGACAGACCAACCCCCACGCAGGACCACUGAGCCAGCAGGUGUUGGCAACACUGCCCCUUGCCCUCGGGACACGGACGCCAUGGCUCUGGUGACACCUGCACUCCUGCUGGAUUGUGGAACGGACCAGAGGGCGCCUCGUGCAGCUGGGGGACGUUGACCCCGUGGGGAGCCAGCUGGCUGUUUCCUUCACCCUAAAUUCACAUCCUUAACAUGGAAAUUGAUGCCACUUUAUUUUCUCUUUCAUUAAAAA